This is a microRNA precursor of Culex quinquefasciatus (southern house mosquito), 115 nucleotides long. It matches the Rfam family "mir-1889 microRNA precursor family". The record is from Rfam. NCBI's taxonomy places the organism in Eukaryota, Metazoa, Arthropoda, Insecta, Diptera, Culicidae.
GGAGUAAUCUCAAAUUGUAACAGUGGGUUUUUUCAACGGCAAAGCACAAACUUUGAAACGUCCCUCCGUUCGAGAGAACAUUUGCUAUACCCACGUUACAGAUUGGGGUUUCCCC